AUACAAAAAAAAUUAGGAUAUUAGAUAUUUGUAUUUCAUCUUCUACUCUUAUAAAUAUAUCUCUUUUAUAUUUUAAUCAUUAUUACUGAUACGCGUACGUAGUGUAACUAUUUGUGGGUACAUGUAUGUGUCUAGAAAUCAGAUCAGUGCACAAAUUAUGGCAUUGAUGAAUGAUGGUUCCACAUCCAGAAUCAUGUUAAAGCACCCUCUCAGAAUUAUAUUCCUUUUAUUAAAAAAUAU
This 240-nucleotide long non-coding RNA is filed under the name Mytilus galloprovincialis (Mediterranean mussel). The record is from RNAcentral. Lineage: Eukaryota; Metazoa; Mollusca; Bivalvia; Mytilida; Mytilidae.